This is a small nuclear RNA of Molossus molossus (Pallas's mastiff bat), 106 nucleotides long. The record is from RefSeq and is a predicted model, not a curated record. Lineage: Eukaryota; Metazoa; Chordata; Mammalia; Chiroptera; Molossidae.
GUGCUCGCUUUGGCAGCACACACACUAAAAUUAGAACGAUACAGAGAACAUUAGCAUGGCCCCUGAGCAAGGACACACACAAAUACGUGAAAUGUUCCAUAUUUAA